GCCCAAAUCGCGCAAUUGGUAGACGCAGCGGAUUCAAGACCCGUCCAGUGUUGGUUCGAGUCCAACUUUGGGUACCA
This 77-nucleotide transfer RNA is filed under the name Mycoplasmataceae bacterium. RNAcentral's name for it is "tRNA-Leu". It matches the Rfam family "tRNA". From Rfam's summary of the family: Transfer RNA (tRNA) molecules are approximately 80 nucleotides in length. Their secondary structure includes four short double-helical elements and three loops (D, anti-codon, and T loops). Further hydrogen bonds mediate the characteristic L-shaped molecular structure. tRNAs have two regions of fundamental functional importance: the anti-codon, which is responsible for specific mRNA codon recognition, and the 3' end, to which the tRNAs corresponding amino acid is attached (by aminoacyl-tRNA synthetases). tRNAs cope with the degeneracy of the genetic code in two manners: having more than one tRNA (with a specific anti-codon) for a particular amino acid; and 'wobble' base-pairing, i.e. permitting non-standard base-pairing at the 3rd anti-codon position. RNAcentral also lists the same sequence under 1 other name. Lineage: Bacteria; Bacillati; Mycoplasmatota; Mollicutes; Mycoplasmatales; Mycoplasmataceae. The record is from RNAcentral.